RNAcentral lists this ribosomal RNA (907 nucleotides) under Elenacalanus princeps. Its description in RNAcentral is "SSU rRNA". It matches the Rfam family "Eukaryotic small subunit ribosomal RNA", at positions 81 to 989 of the family's 1831-position model. The record is from RNAcentral. Lineage: Eukaryota; Metazoa; Arthropoda; Copepoda; Calanoida; Megacalanidae.
GUGAAACCGCGAAUGGCUCAUUAAAUCACACCUAAUCUACUGGAUAGUACAAGUUACUUGGAUAACUGCGGUAAUUCUGGAGCUAAUACAUGCACAAAGCCUCGAACUUACGUGAGAGGCGCUUUUAUUAGAUCAAAACCAAUCGGCUUCGGCUGUAUUCUUGGUGACUCUGAAUAACUUUGGGCUGAUCGCAUAGCCUUGCGCUGGCGACAUAUCCUUCGAAGGUGUGCCCUAUCAACUGUCGACUGUGGCAUAGACGCCCACAGUGGUUUUGACGGGUAACGGGGAAUCAGGGUUCGAUUCCGGAGAGGGAGCCUUAAAAACGGCUACCACAUCUAAGGAAGGCAGCAGGCACGCAAAUUACCCAAUGACCGAAGGUCGAGGUAGUGACGAAAAAUAACGAUACAGGACUCAUCCGAGGCCCUGUAAUCGGAAUGAGUACACUUUAAAACCGUCCCCGAGGAUCUAUUGGAGGGCAAGUCUGGUGCCAGCAGCCGCGGUAAUUCCAGCUCCAAUAGCGUAUAUUAAAGUUGUUGUGGUUAAAAAGCUCGUAGUUGGAUCUCGGCAGUCUGAGGGCGGUUUGCUUGCUAGUAUUACUGCCCUAUAGACUGUAGUUUUGCCAGAGGUUUCAGGGUGCUCUUAAUCGAGUGUCUUGGGAUGCUGGCAGGUUUACUUUGAAAAAAUUAGAGUGCUCAAAGCAGGCUAUUACGCCUGAAUAUUCGUGCAUGGAAUAAUAGAAUAGGAAGUCGUUUCUAUUUUGUUGGUUUUCGGAAAUCGACUUAAUGAUUAAUAGGGACAGUCGGGGGCAUUUGUAUUCAAACGACAGAGGUGAAAUUCUUGGACCGUUUGAAGACAAACUACUGCGAAAGCAUUUGCCAAGAAUGUUUUCAUUAAUCAAGAACGAAAG